This 153-nucleotide ribosomal RNA is filed under the name uncultured fungus. Its description in RNAcentral is "5.8S ribosomal RNA". It matches the Rfam family "5.8S ribosomal RNA". From Rfam's summary of the family: 5.8S ribosomal RNA (5.8S rRNA) is a component of the large subunit of the eukaryotic ribosome. It is transcribed by RNA polymerase I as part of the 45S precursor that also contains 18S and 28S rRNA. Functionally, it is thought that 5.8S rRNA may be involved in ribosome translocation. Lineage: Eukaryota; Fungi. The record is from RNAcentral.
AACUUUCAACAACGGAUCUCUUGGCUCUCGCAUCGAUGAAGAACGCAGCGAAAUGCGAUAAGUAAUGUGAAUUGCAGAAUUCAGUGAAUCAUCGAAUCUUUGAACGCACCUUGCGCUCCUUGGUAUUCCGGGGAGCAUGCCUGUUUGAGUGUC